GCUUCUUAAAGAUCUUUCCAUUUGAUUGCAAAAAAAUAACAAUAAUAACAACAAAGAAAAUUAAUAUUAUAUGGUUAAAGGCUUAAAGUCCCAAUCCCCUAAACAUGCUUAUGCCUACAUUUACCUUUUCAAGAACCAUAUUUCGAAGCUCCAGCAGCAUUUUCACUUCCAACAAUUGAAGCUUCAGCAUUUCCACUAACAUUUGAAGCUUCAGCAUCUCCUCCAGCAUCUCCCCCAUUCCCAGCAUCUCCUUCAUUCUCAACAUGUUUUUUGGUCAGCAUAUUCCAGUAUAAGAUCUUGUAAAUGUGUGAACUUUAUUAUAUCCUGAGCCAUACCUUUGAGCUACGGAUUAGUUUCCGCAGCAACUUCACUAAGUAAAUACAGUUUUUUCUCAUUGCAAGUGCCUCCACCUCCUCAAUUUUUGAGUCCUUUAGCCAGUGUUUAAGUUUAGGAAAGGACAAGGUUAGGAAAUUCAGAAGUGUUGUGGCAAGACCGGUGAUAAUUUAGAUAAACAGCCUCUUCACGAGUUCUGAAACAUACUCCCAUAAUUUCUCGGCAUUACAUUUUUCUUAAAAUAUUUGGAAAUCCAUUUCGUUAUAAGUUAUAACGCACAGAAGUUUCCGAAUAGAAGUGAGACGAGAUUUUAGUAUCGUAUCUGACAGAGACGGAUUUAGAUCUGUGUCGGGUGGAGUUUGAUUUUUCUAUUUCAAUGGUGGCGGAGGCUGAAGGGUUUGGUGGCUUAAUCAAUUCAAUACGUCACCUUUCAUGAUGUAGCUUUAUUAUAUUG
RNAcentral lists this long non-coding RNA (787 nucleotides) under Capsicum annuum. RNAcentral's name for it is "long non-coding RNA (CANN_LNC019719)". The record is from RNAcentral. Lineage: Eukaryota; Viridiplantae; Streptophyta; Magnoliopsida; Solanales; Solanaceae.